ACACACACUGGACAAACACAAAUACACACACACUGGAAAAUACACACACACUGGACAAAUACACACACACUGGACAAAUACACACACACUGGACACACACACACACUGGACACACACACACUCUGGACACACACACACACUGGACACACACACACACUGGACAAACACACACACUGGACACACACAUUGGACACACACCCACACACACACACUGGACCGACACACACACACUGAAUACACACACACUGAACAGACACACACACACUGGACACACUCACACAAACACACACUGGACACGGACAGAAACACACACAAACACACCUCACAUACACACACUGAUUACACACUGAAUACACACACAUUGGACACACACACACACACACACUGGACACACACACACACACUGGAAACAAACACAUACAUUGGACACACACACACACACACACUGGACACACACACACACUGGAAACAAACACACACAUUGGACACACACACACACACACACACACAUUUGACACACUCACACACACACACACACACGCACUGGACACUCAGAAACACGCUGGACAAACAAACACACACACACACUGGACACACACACUCAAACACUGAACACACACACACACUGAAACACACACUGGACACAAACACACACACACACACACUCAACACAGACACACAAACUCCACACACACACACACUGGACACACACACACACACACACACUAGACACACACACACAAACACACUAGAUAAAUACACUGGACACACACACACUGGACACGCACACACACACUGGACACGUGCACACACACACUGAACACACACACACACACACUGGACACACACACACACACUCUGGACACACACACACACCACACUGAACACACACAAAACUGUACACACACACACUCACACACACACACUGGACACACACACACUGGACAAACACACACUAGACAAAUACACACACACACUGGACACACAGACACACACUGGACACACACUGGACAAACACACACUGGACAAACACACACUGGACAAACACACACUGGACAAACACACACUGGACAAACACACACUGGACAAAUACACACUGGACAAAUACACACACACUAGACAAACACACACACAAACACAGUGGACACAAACACAGUGGACACACACACACACACACACACACACACACACACACUGGACACACACACACACACACUGGACACACACACACACACACACACACACACACACACACACACACACACACACACUGAACACACACACACUCACACACUGGACUCACAGACACACACUGGACACACACACUCACACACACACACUGGUCACACACACACUGAACACACACACUCUGGACACACACACACACUGGACUCACAGACACACAUUGGACAAAUACACACACACACACACACACACUGGACAAAUACACACACACAAACACAGUGGACAAACAUAUACACACAGGACACACACUCUGGACACACACACAUUCUGGACACACACACACAUGCGCAUCUUUCUAUAGUUGUGAGGACCUCUUACAACAACACUGUUAAAAUACCAAUGUAAUCAUGUGUUGUCUUUUAUGUUGAAAAACUAAUUAUACAAUUAUAUAUAAUUAUAUAUGGACAUACGCUCCAUAGUUGUACAAGUGUACCAGUAUAUAUUGUACUUUUCAUAAUAAAACAUACUUGAAACAAGAAAAGCUUGUUAAUUGUGAAAAC
Molecule: long non-coding RNA, 1745 nt
Organism: Oncorhynchus tshawytscha (Chinook salmon)
Lineage: Eukaryota; Metazoa; Chordata; Actinopteri; Salmoniformes; Salmonidae
Source: Ensembl